Taeniopygia guttata (zebra finch) is the source of this 667-nucleotide non-coding RNA. The record is from RefSeq and is a predicted model, not a curated record. NCBI's taxonomy places the organism in Eukaryota, Metazoa, Chordata, Aves, Passeriformes, Estrildidae.
UUCUCUUUUUGGGGGGGGUCCCGGACCCCAGAGUUCCUUUGCAGGGGUUUAGGGGGGAAUUUGGGCUGUCUCGGCCCCCAAGUUUGGGGGGUCAGGAUUUUGGGGGUCUGACGCUGCCCCCCAGCCCCCCCCCGUGCCCCCCGAGACCGUGGCCGCCGUUUCCUUCGGUGCCUUCGUGGUGGGGGCGGCGCUGGCGGGGGGGCUCUGGCUCGUGCACGACCGGACAGCCCCCCGGCCCCCCCACCGGCCCCAGCGCUGCCCCCCAGCCCGGGGGGGGCCAGGUGACAGGCGAUGAUUGACAGCUCUGAGUACUGAGAAAUUCCUGAGGGAAAAGGAAAUUCCGGCAGUGGGAGAUGGCGGCCAGAGCUGAUCCAGCCCCGGGUCCUCGCUCAGCUGCUCGGGACACAUCCCCGCAGCGGUUUCCAGGGAGGGAAAUCUCCUGGGAUAAUUCACAUGGGAGGGGGCAGACAGAACCAGCAAACUGGGAUAUUAAUAAUCAAAAGUUCUGCCGUCUGUAACCAAUGAGCGCUGACGCUUUCGUUCGUUAAAAUGUCCCAAUCGUGCAAAGCUUUGUUGAUGGGGGAGCGGGGAGCGAUCUUUGGGGACCCCCCGGCCUUUGGGGAAACCCUGGCUCCUGCUGUGUGCUAAGAACAAAACCUGAACCGCC